UCGAGGAUCUUCGGCAAUGGGCGCAAGCCUGACCGAGCGACGCCGCGUGAAGGAUGAAGGCCUUCGGGUUGUAAACUUCUGUCGAGGGGGAUAAAGCCGCAAGGUUGAUAGAUCCCUGGAGGAAGCACGGGCUAAGUUCGUGCCAGCAGCCGCGGUAAGACGAACCGUGCGAACGUUGUUCGGAAUCACUGGGCUUAAAGGGCGCGUAGGCGGCUUGGCAAGUCAGUGGUGAAAUCCUCCGGCUUAACCGGAGAAGUGCCAUUGAUACUGCUGAGCUUGAGGGAGGUAGGGGCAGCUGGAACUUCUGGUGGAGCGGUGAAAUGCGUUGAUAUCAGAAGGAACGCCGGUGGCGAAAGCGAGCUGCUGGAUCUCUACUGACGCUGAGGCGCGAAAGCUAGGG
RNAcentral lists this ribosomal RNA (400 nucleotides) under uncultured bacterium. RNAcentral's name for it is "bacterial SSU rRNA". It matches the Rfam family "Bacterial small subunit ribosomal RNA", at positions 355 to 765 of the family's 1533-position model. The record is from RNAcentral.